CUAAUGGGCCUGGAGUUAGAAUUCCUCAACUUCUCCCAGCCUCAGAGCAGGUGCAGCACAGCCCAUGGCCGUGCAACCUUCCCUUCAAAGGACUCAUUAAUAUUCUUCAACUCUGGACUGGAGAGACCAGCUCUGGGAUAAAAGGAAAAUUGAGUCUCCAUGGCCAAUUCACUCCUUGGCCUCC
RNAcentral lists this small RNA (184 nucleotides) under Chrysemys picta bellii (western painted turtle). Its description in RNAcentral is "TUC338 (ENSCPBG00000001336.1)". The record is from RNAcentral. Lineage: Eukaryota; Metazoa; Chordata; Testudines; Emydidae.